This 314-nucleotide ribosomal RNA is filed under the name uncultured bacterium. RNAcentral describes it as "bacterial SSU rRNA". It matches the Rfam family "Bacterial small subunit ribosomal RNA", at positions 30 to 334 of the family's 1533-position model. The record is from RNAcentral.
AUUGAACGCUAGCGGGAUGCCUUACACAUGCAAGUCGAACGGCAGCAUAAGAGAGCUUGCUCUCUUGAUGGCGAGUGGCGGACGGGUGAGUAACGCGUGAGGAACCUGCCUCGGAGUGGGGAAUAACAACCCGAAAGGGUUGCUAAUACCGCAUAAUGCAGUUGGGUCGCAUGGCUCUGACUGCCAAAGAUUUAUCGCUCUGAGAUGGCCUCGCGUCUGAUUAGCUAGUUGGCGGGGUAACGGCCCACCAAGGCGACGAUCAGUAGCCGGACUGAGAGGUUGACCGGCCACAUUGGGACUGAGACACGGCCCAG